UACGUAGGGUGCAAGCGUUAAUCGGAAUUACUGGGCGUAAAGCGUGCGCAGGCGGUUUUGUAAGUCCGUUGUGAAAGCCCCGGGCUCAACCUGGGAAUUGCGAUGGAGACUGCAAGGCUUGAAUCUGGCAGAGGGGGGUAGAAUUCCACGUGUAGCAGUGAAAUGCGUAGAGAUGUGGAGGAACACCGAUGGCGAAGGCAGCCCCCUGGGUCAAGAUUGACGCUCAUGCACGAAAGCGUGGGGAGCAAACAGG
Molecule: ribosomal RNA, 253 nt
Filed under: uncultured bacterium
Lineage: Bacteria
Description: partial 16S ribosomal RNA
Rfam family: Bacterial small subunit ribosomal RNA
Source: RNAcentral